RNAcentral lists this transfer RNA (76 nucleotides) under Candidatus Nitrotoga arctica. RNAcentral describes it as "tRNA-Phe". It matches the Rfam family "tRNA". Rfam says of the family: Transfer RNA (tRNA) molecules are approximately 80 nucleotides in length. RNAcentral also lists the same sequence under 8 other names. The record is from RNAcentral. Lineage: Bacteria; Pseudomonadati; Pseudomonadota; Betaproteobacteria; Nitrosomonadales; Gallionellaceae.
GGCCUGGUAGCUCAGUUGGUAGAGCAGUGGAUUGAAGAUCCUCGUGUCGGUGGUUCGAUUCCGCCCCGGGCCACCA